RNAcentral lists this ribosomal RNA (206 nucleotides) under uncultured bacterium. RNAcentral describes it as "partial 16S ribosomal RNA". It matches the Rfam family "Bacterial small subunit ribosomal RNA", at positions 568 to 774 of the family's 1533-position model. The record is from RNAcentral.
CGUGUAGGCGGUCAGGUAAGUGGGAUGUGAAAUCCCUCGGCUCACCCGAGGACCUGCAUCCCAAACUGCUUGGCUUGAGUAUGGGAGAGGAUGAGGGAAUUCCUGGUGUAGCGGUGAAAUGCGUAGAUAUCAGGAGGAACACCGGUGGCGAAAGCGCUCAUCUGGCCCAAUACUGACGCUGAGGCGCGAAAGCUAGGGAGCAAACG